UAAUAAGUGUUUUAUGGCACUUUUUAAAUCCAUACCCACCUUGUGUGCAAUGUCAGUCGAUCUUCUUCAUGGAGAUCGACCAAACAUCAACCUUUAUCUUUUAACUCUUUGUCUGAAAAAUAUUAUGAAUAAACAAUUCAAAAUA
Molecule: unclassified non-coding RNA, 145 nt
Filed under: soil metagenome
Description: partial internal transcribed spacer 1
Source: RNAcentral